AGUGAACGCUGGCGGUAGGCCUAACACAUGCAAGUCGAACGGCAGCACAGUAAGAGCUUGCUCUUACGGGUGGCGAGUGGCGGACGGGUGAGGAAUACAUCGGAAUCUACUUUUUCGUGGGGGAUAACGUAGGGAAACUUACGCUAAUACCGCAUACGACCUACGGGUGAAAGCAGGGGAUCUUCGGACCUUGCGCGAUUGAAUGAGCCGAUGUCGGAUUAGCUAGUUGGCGGGGUAAAGGCCCACCAAGGCGGCGAUCCGUAGCUGGUCUGAGAGGAUGAUCAGCCACACUGGAACUGAGACACGGUCCAGACUCCUACGGGAGGCAGCAGUGGGGAAUAUUGGACAAUGGGCGCAAGCCUGAUCCAGCCAUACCGCGUGGGUGAAGAAGGCCUUCGGGUUGUAAAGCCCUUUUGUUGGGAAAGAAAAGCAGCAGGUUAAUACCCCACUGUUCUGACGGUACCCAAAGAAUAAGCACCGGCUAACUUCGUG
RNAcentral lists this ribosomal RNA (492 nucleotides) under uncultured bacterium. RNAcentral describes it as "partial 16S ribosomal RNA". It matches the Rfam family "Bacterial small subunit ribosomal RNA", at positions 29 to 507 of the family's 1533-position model. The record is from RNAcentral.